Long non-coding RNA from Lucilia cuprina (Australian sheep blowfly), 347 nucleotides. RefSeq lists it as uncharacterized. The transcript has 2 exons. NCBI's taxonomy places the organism in Eukaryota, Metazoa, Arthropoda, Insecta, Diptera, Calliphoridae. The record is from RefSeq and is a predicted model, not a curated record.
CUCGUUAUGAGUGAUUAGAGUAUAUACUUCUUAGAACUCAAUAAUAGUUUUCAUAAAGCAGCGUACUUAAACAUUUUGUAAAUUCUUAGUAUAAAUAAUAGUUUCAAAUUAAAUUUUAGCAUCAUUCAAUAAGAUGAAGUUGUACGCUUUCUUUGGAUUUGCUUUGGCAUUAUUAGCUGUAGCUUUGGGAAACCCUAAUCCCGAACCUCAUCCUAAUCCUCUGCCAUUAGGAGGUGGUGGUGGUGGAGGCGGCGGUGGUGGUGGCAAGUAGAGUCUCAUGCUAUCCUGCUCAAAUAAUUAUGAUUAAUUAAAAAAUAAAAAAAUGCUGUUAUUGAAUACUUUAAAAA